CCACACACGAUCCAAGAUCGACACUUUUUGUGAACUGUAAACGUUAAUGUAUUGACACAGUAACUUUUAACAAGUUGCAACGUGUUCAUACCCCCUUUUUACACCAAAUACCAAACAUGAAUUGUGCAUUGGAACUGAAAAUGUUAUGGCAAGUUCUUCUUGACAUGACGCUAGAUUGAAAAUUGUAAA
RNAcentral lists this unclassified non-coding RNA (189 nucleotides) under uncultured fungus. RNAcentral's name for it is "sequence contains ITS1, 5.8S rRNA gene". The record is from RNAcentral. Lineage: Eukaryota; Fungi.